RNAcentral lists this ribosomal RNA (344 nucleotides) under uncultured bacterium. Its description in RNAcentral is "bacterial SSU rRNA". It matches the Rfam family "Bacterial small subunit ribosomal RNA", at positions 8 to 334 of the family's 1533-position model. The record is from RNAcentral.
AGAGUUCGAUUCUGGCUCAGGAUGAACGCUGGCGGCGUGCUUAACACAUGCAAGUCGAACGAAGCACUUUUACAGAUUUCUUCGGAAUGAAGUUUUAGUGACUGAGUGGCGGACGGGUGAGUAACGCGUGGGUAACCUGCCUCACACAGGGGGAUAACAGUUGGAAACGGCUGCUAAUACCGCAUAAGCGCACAGUACCGCAUGGUACAGUGUGAAAAACUCCGGUGGUGUGAGAUGGACCCGCGUCUGAUUAGCUAGUUGGCAGGGCAACGGCCUACCAAGGCGACGAUCAGUAGCCGACCUGAGAGGGUGACCGGCCACAUUGGGACUGAGACACGGCCCAA